RNAcentral lists this ribosomal RNA (575 nucleotides) under uncultured bacterium. RNAcentral's name for it is "bacterial SSU rRNA". It matches the Rfam family "Bacterial small subunit ribosomal RNA", at positions 359 to 912 of the family's 1533-position model. The record is from RNAcentral.
AAAACUCCAAGGGAUUGGGGGGGACUCUCUUUGGGGGGGCGUAGUGCGUAAUUGGGAGGAUGUGCGCGGGGGGCUUGUAAACUGCUUUUGUACGGACACGAAAAGACUCGCUGUGCUAAUAAAGGGGGUCCAUGACGGUACCGUAAGAAUAAGCACCGGCUAACUACGUGCCAGCAGCCGCGGUAAUACGUAGGGUGCAAGCGUUAAUCGGAAUUACUGGGCGUAAAGCGUGCGCAGGCGGUUAUAUAAGACAGAUGUGAAAUCCCCGGGCUCAACCUGGGAACUGCAUUUGUGACUGUAUAGCUAGAGUACGGUAGAGGGGGAUGGAAUUCCGCGUGUAGCAGUGAAAUGCGUAGAUAUGCGGAGGAACACCGAUGGCGAAGGCAAUCCCCUGGACCUGUACUGACGCUCAUGCACGAAAGCGUGGGGAGCAAACAGGAUUAGAUACCCUGGUAGUCCACGCCCUAAACGAUGUCAACUGGUUGUUGGGUCUUCACUGACUCAGUAACGAAGCUAACGCGUGAAGUUGACCGCCUGGGGAGUACGGCCCGCAAGGUUGAAACUCAAAGGAUUGG